GACGAACGCUGGCGGCGUGCUUAACACAUGCAAGUCGAACGGAAAGGCCCUGCUUGCAGGGUACUCGAGUGGCGAACGGGUGAGUAACACGUGGGUGAUCUGCCCUGCACUUCGGGAUAAGCUUGGGAAACUGGGUCUAAUAACGGAUAGGACCGCACUUUAGUGUGUGUGGUGGAAAGUUUUUUCGGUGUAGGAUGAGCUCGCGGCCUAUCAGCUUGUUGGUGGGGUAAUGGCCUACCAAGGCGGCGACGGGUAGCCGGCCUGCGAGGGUGUACGGCCACAUUGGGACUGAGAGACGGCCCAGACUCCUACGGGAGGCAGCAGUGGGGAAUAUUGCACAAGGGGCGCAAGCCUGAUGCAGCGACGCCGCGUGGGGGAUGAAGGCCUUCGGGUUGUAAACUCCUUUCGCUAGGGACGAAGCUUUUUGUGACGGUACCUAGAUAAGAAGCACCGGCUAACUACGUG
This 465-nucleotide ribosomal RNA is filed under the name uncultured bacterium. RNAcentral's name for it is "partial 16S ribosomal RNA". It matches the Rfam family "Bacterial small subunit ribosomal RNA", at positions 28 to 507 of the family's 1533-position model. The record is from RNAcentral.